AUGCUAGCUUCAGCAGCACAUAUACUAUAUUAGCAUGAUACAGAGAAGAUUUGCAUGACCCCUGCACAAGGAUGACAGGUAAAUUUGUGAAAUAUUCCAUAUUUUU
Alexandromys fortis (reed vole) is the source of this 106-nucleotide small nuclear RNA. The record is from RefSeq and is a predicted model, not a curated record. NCBI's taxonomy places the organism in Eukaryota, Metazoa, Chordata, Mammalia, Rodentia, Cricetidae.